Molecule: long non-coding RNA, 3288 nt
Organism: Bombus pascuorum
Lineage: Eukaryota; Metazoa; Arthropoda; Insecta; Hymenoptera; Apidae
Exons: 2
Source: RefSeq, a predicted model, not a curated record
UUUAUGCAAAUGCAUAUUUUGCAUAUAUUUUUUACAUAUAUCAAUAUAAUUAAAAAGAAAUAAAAUCAAGACAUAUUUGUUUCAUCUAUUAAGUGUUAUAAUGAGCACAGUAUUUGGAUUAUUUUUUAUAUAUUUUCGCACAUUAUUUCGCACAUUCUAUAAAUUUUUACGCCCUCGAAUUUGCAAUUUAAUUACCAGUAUCUGUUCAAUGAAAAUUAAUUCCAACUAGCACGGUGCCCAUAUCUCGGCUGAAUAAGAUCGCAAAGGGUUAAAAAAGAAAUAGUAACGUCCGCAAAAAAAGAAAUAAUUUUAAAAAGUGGAAAAAAUAAAAGAAAAAAAAAAAGAAAAAAAAAGGAAAAGAUUGAUCGGAGGAAACUAGGUAACGAUCAAGAAAUAACAAUUAACACUGAGCCCAUUUGCGUUGCGGUGGCUAGCGGCAGUGGCAGCGUCAGAGGAAGGCGUCGCAGGGGGCUUGGCGGGAUUGGUGCGUUGAGGGGUGGCGGUAGUGGUGGCCUUGGAAGGGGUGACACCGGGAUGCCCUCGCGUUGGUAUACGCUACUGGCGCUGCCCUUCCCCGACCAGCACCUGGGGCGCCGCGACUUGACGGCUCGCCGCGGCACCGAUCAUCCUUAUUCCUUCGGCCUCUCGGCGGCCCAUCGCGCUGGAUACCUUUCCAACCCUGUCCUUUAAGAUUAUCAAACAAUUACUUCCUAUAUAGUCUAUAUAUAUACAUAUAUAGUCCACCAUUAUCGCCUUCACCCUCCACGCAACCACCGCCCACCACUACAUCAACCAUCACCACGUACCACUACAACCGCCAUGCGCCACCCUCGCGAGUGAUUACUAGUCAAGAAAUCGCGGUAGAAGCAGCAAGCAUUACCGACACCGUGCAUCUCCAGAUUGCAAUACCGUGGCCAGCUUUGGAAGCAGUUCCUCUGAGAGUCGAGGAGGACUGAAUCGAUAUUACCGUCAAGCUUGGGAAAAUCUGCAUGAGACGGCCGGUCAUAAGACCAAUCAUCCUCCUCUUCGUCGCAAGGAGACCCUGGAUGAACCAGGAUACCGAGAAAAUUACCGUGGCAACAACACCGAGAGAGAUGGUUCAGAAUUAGUUGUGAGCGAUGUAGCCACGUACCCGUCUAACAAGCACGCCAGCAUUUCUGACAAGAAACGCCAUCAUCAUCAUCAUCAUCAUCACCACGGUAACUCUACGCCCGAGUGGAGGCAGUCUCAGUCUCAUCACAGAUACUAAACAUAAAAUCGGUUACCUAGAACCGCUUAUUUUUUUGAGAUUUUCGGUGAAUCGAUUAUUGUGACGAGUCGCGAUUAGAUCACGAGCAAGUUGUAUUUUUUAUGCUGUAUGCAUAUUUUAUAAAUGGUGACGCACUGGAAGAUGGUGACUUUAUGUUAGGAAAUACGUACAAAAUGUAAGGUAAAUUUCUUUCAAUAUAGAGUUUUAAUUUCAGCAAAUGUAUUUUUGAUUAUUUGUUGAAUGUGAAAGAUAUAAUUAAUUGAAUGUUUAUUUGGUAAUAUUUGGAUUUAAAAAUAUUUGUACAGACAAAUUUGUUUACAUAAAUGAAAUACUUCUUGUGUAUGUGUAUUUUUAUAUAUAAGAACAUCUCUUUUUUAUUUCUUCAAUACAGUAAUAUGUGAAUUUUAUAUAUUGAUCUGAUUCUUUAAGAAAAAAAUUGAUGAAUUCAUACAUUGCUUUAAUUUCAAUUUUAAUUUCUAAAUAACUUUAUUUUUUAUAGAAAAGCACAUCUAUCUCAAAAUCUUUUGAGGUGGAUCGUUGACAUUUUCUAUAAUAUUCUAGAUCUAAAUUACACAUAUACAUUUUGAAACAUGUAUAAAAUCUUGUGUUUAAAAUUCAACUAACUGUUUCUAGUAAUUCAGCUAAUUCUAAGUUAGAAUAUCAAAAAUGUAUAUUGUUUUCCAUUUACAAUUCAAAGUUUACUUAGAAGAAUGUAUAUUUAACAUGAAUUAUAAAUCUUUGUCCCAAAUUUUUUCAAGAAAUAUGUAUAUGUAUAUCUAAUAUUCUUAGAACAAUAUUUUGUAGUCAUUUGACGAAGAAAUUAGUAAAAUAAAAUAUUACCAAAUGCAUAUAUAUCAUAACAAACGUUUGACAAAUAUUUAAAAUCAUUUUUUUUAGAAAUAAAGUUUCAUGUGAAUAAAUUUUCUUAUAUUUCAUCUUCUUUUUAGCAUUAAAUCACCAUCCAUCCAUGUAUUCUGCUAUAUCAUUUAUGAAAUAAUUUGUAACUCCAUUUAAAAUGGAAACUUAAAAGAACAUGGUGAACAAUUCAAACGUUGCGUAGGAGAAUUUUUAAGCGUGAUUCAUAGAUAGAAAAACUAAUUCAUCCUACAUUUAUUGUUCUGUUAUACAGUAAAUUAUUUACGACUACCUUGUUACGUAAUGUAAAUACCGUAUACUGCAGUAGCGUAAGUCAAAGAUGAAAGUUGUGAAUGUAGGAGGAUCACGAGUUGAUCGAAGGAUAUGCCAAAAAAAUGAGAGAGUAAUAUAUGUAUAUGUAUAAUUACUGAUCAAACGAAUUCUAAUAAUUUUUAAACGAAUUCUAUACAAACUAUUAUAAGAAUGUUCGAUUAUAAUAGGAUUGACAAUAUUUUAUGAAAAUCAUACGCAUACUCGGUUGAUCAAUAUCUGUAAUGGGCACCUUGGCCUCGCCUUAAAGGAAUCGAACAAACUCAUAACGAAACGAUAUUCGAAGAUGGUACCGUUAAGGAAAGGCCGACGCUAUACAUAUCAGAAUCAAAAUUCAUUUAGUUAUGGUGCUCAUUUUAAGACACUUUGCACUUAUUCAAAUUCAUGUCGGAUCUGUUUUUGCAGAUUUUAAAACACCUUAAUUAAUUAUUUGUGUUUAGUAUUAUUUUAACCAGUUGAACAUCUUUUCUCAUGCUUGUCAAGAAUAGAACAUAUAUAAUUAAUAGAUAUGUAUUUAAUCAUUGACUGACGUAAGAUAUUCGUAGUAAGUUUGUACAUGUAUUUAUUUAAUACUUCAGUAAUCUACAAAAAAUUGUAAUAGUGCCAUUAUAGGCAAACUUGUUUAAUUGUAUCUAUACAUGCAUUCUAGUUGUUUAAACAUAAACACAGAAUGGUGAACACUCGUGUAUCUUCAGUAACUUGUUAUGUACGUACAUAGUUAGUUUUAGUCUUAGUUAUGCACGAAUUGUUUCAACUAAAAAUAUUUAUGUAUCAUAAUUGUUUCACAGAAGUUCAUAAAGGAAAAUACAAAUUGUUCAAAAAGUUAAUAAGAUAAAUUUAAUUCUUUUAAUACA